GACGAACGCUGGCGGCGUGCUUAACACAUGCCAGUCGAACGAAAAGAGGGAAAGAGCUUGCUCUUUCCGGAAUUGAGUGGCAAACGGGUGAGUAACACGUAAACAACCUGCCUUCAGGAUGGGGACAACAGACGGAAACGACUGCUAAUACCGAAUAAGUUCCAAGGGCCGCAUGGCCCAUGGAAGAAAAGGUGGCCUCUACCUGUAAGCUAUCGCCUGAAGAGGGGUUUGCGUCUGAUUAGCUGGUUGGAGGGGUAACGGCCCACCAAGGCGACGAUCAGUAGCCGGUCUGAGAGGAUGAACGGCCACACUGGAACUGAGACACGGUCCAGACUCCUACGGGAGGCAGCAGUGGGGAAUCUUCCGCAAUGGGCGAAAGCCUGACGGAGCAACGCCGCGUGAGUGAUGACGGCCUUCGGGUUGUAAAACUCUGUGAUCCGGGACGAAAAGGCAGAGUGCGAAGAACAAACUGCAUUGACGGUACCGGAAAAGCAAGCCACGGCUAACUACGUG
Molecule: ribosomal RNA, 513 nt
Filed under: uncultured bacterium
Lineage: Bacteria
Description: partial 16S ribosomal RNA
Rfam family: Bacterial small subunit ribosomal RNA
Source: RNAcentral